This is a long non-coding RNA of Etheostoma spectabile (orangethroat darter), 2102 nucleotides long. RefSeq lists it as uncharacterized. The transcript is spliced from 3 exons. The record is from RefSeq and is a predicted model, not a curated record. Lineage: Eukaryota; Metazoa; Chordata; Actinopteri; Perciformes; Percidae.
UACUGUAACUUGGGCAUUCACAUGGGGAUUGUUUGUCUCUGCAUGGAAAAAUGAACUCACUGAUUAGCAUACUGUUUGAUUAUCUUCAUUAGUCUUCAGCCACACUUCCUUAUUUGUGUUUUUGUCCUUGUAUGUGUGUGUGUGUGUUUGUGUUUUGACCUCUUUCACACAGAGAGACCCCCAAUUGUGCUCUAGUAGCCAGCCGAGCUCAGUGAAGCAGAGCCUAUAUGCUCACUGGCAUUUCACACACCCAAACGCGUACAUGUAAACACACACGAUCAUCAUUUAUCCAGCUGGGGUCCCAUGCGACACACACACACACACACACACACACACACACACACACACACACACACACACACAUAGAUGCAGACAUCAGCUUGCAUAUGGAAAUAAUGGUUGAGGUCUCAUCCCCUAAUGUACACCUUGCAUAGCACCUCUCUGCAGCGGGAAACCCGUCAGCCGUAUCUCCACUGUUAUCUGUCCACCUCUUGCUUGACUCUGCAGGUCAGCCAGCCCCCAGGAUUUGAAGCACACUUCCGCCUUAAAAGUUGUAUGCCACUACCUUUGAUAAUCAAGAUAGAACCUAAUUAAGCUUACCCAUGCAGAAGAUGCUCUCGCCUUUUUUUGCACACACACUUUUUGAGGAGAUGGGGGCCUAUACUGUUUCAGCUCAUCCAACUGUGAGAUUCUCCUUUCCCCUCCCUAGUCCUGCCAUCAUCUCACUAAUGGUGUUUCUAUCUCUUCUCCAUAGGAGGUAAAUGAAGCUUUUAAGCAGGGUGGAGGGAAGGGGGACCACUGCAAAGAUUAAUUGACUUUCUGCAGAGCUUCACUUAUCCUCCACUGGCACCUUUUGACUUGUCAGAGGUCCAGUCAUGCUACAGAACAACCAUUCCAGACUGGGGGGGCUUGUCAUCUGUAUCUACUCAUAUCCUACAAUCUCUUUUGCUCUGAGCACUACUGCACUUAAAUGUCAGGGCUGAUGAGUCUGCCACACCCACCUGACACAUCCGCUCAGCGCCUGCUAAAAGCUUUUAUGGAACAGAGUGUGAGCCUGGUGGUUGAUAUAAAUUAAAGUGUUCUUUGCUUCUUUUUUGGGGGGGGGGGGGGGGGGGGGGGGUUAUAGGCUCUAAAAAGACAACUUUGAGUAAGAAAUAACGAGAGAGAGCAAGAGCAUAGGCUAUGAUUGGUUGCCAUCUGGUGGCUUGCUGCCACAUUUUAAUGGAUAGAAAGAAAGAUACAGAUACUGAACUCUCACCGCCUAAAACUGUAUUAUGUUUCACAUUAAUCAGACAAAGCAAAUAAUAUACAAAUCCUCCACUUUCUUAGUUUUAUAGUCAUAAUCUCAUAUUGAUUGAAAUGCCUGCAAUCUGACAUAAUAUUCAAAUGAACAAAUUGCAAAAACUGUUUAUUUUGAAACAAUAUAUAAUAAUAAAUCUGAAAGAGAGUUGUUACGAUUUUGUUGUGGGUUAAGUCAGGGAAGCUCAAAGAGUUUCAUAUUAUUUUAAAAUUAAUUUAAAUGUUGCAGCAAAACCUUUUUUUUCCUGAACUGCUAAUAACUCAUCAGUUACUAUGGCAUGAAUGACAUGUUUGGAAACAUUUUAAUUGAGACCUUGUGUAUUGAAUAUAAAAACUACAUUGGCAUGUCUGGACUAAAUGCAGUGACAUCUACAUGGCUUUCAUAAAUGUGAUGUGAGUGUAACAUAUUGCAGUAUUUAAUGUUAUUGUACAACAUUUUUAAGAUUGAUUACUUUGUUAUACGCAAAGUGUUAUGUCUUUGUCUACUAAGCUAAGUCUUGAACUAUGCAAUCUUUAACUUUUCUUUCCUCAUGUUACCCCUCAUAAUUUAUACUUUAAUUAUGCUCAAACUGCUUUAAGCUCAUAGUUCUUACUUUGAGAUUUAAGGAAAGUUAAGCAAGAAUUGUGCAAUGGCUUUGCCUUUAUCAUUUUGGGUCCAAAAUGUGUCUAUUGUUUGGAGAUGUAAUGUUAAAUAUUGCAUUGUACCAACAGACCUUUAUUUAUUUACAGAUGAAAAGUUUGACGUGUCACAGUAGGAAAAGCCCAAGAGUAAAUAAUAAAAAAGAAUGAUGCUUGAUGCAUCA